AGCAGCCGCGGUAAUUCCAGCUCCAAUAGCGUAUAUUAAAGUUGUUGCAGUUAAAAAGCUCGUAGUUGAAUUUCGGGAUCAAGGAAUCGGUCAUGCCUUGGUAUGUACUGGUUUUAUUGGUUCUCACCUUCUAAAGAACCAUAAUGUCAUUCAUUUGAUGUUAUGGGGAAUUAGGACUGUUACCUUGAAAAAAUUAGAGUGUUUAAAGCAGGCUUACGCUUGAAUACAUUAGCAUGGAAUAAUGAAAUAGGACAUCAGAUUCUAUUUUGUUGGUUUCUAGGAUCGAUGUAAUGAUUAAUAGGGAUAGUUGGGGGCAUUAGUAUUCAAUUGUCAGAGGUGAAAUUCUUGGAUUUAUUGAAGACUAACUACUGCGAAAGCAUUUGCCAAGGAUGUUUUCAUUAAUCAAGAACGAAAGUUAGGGGAUCGAAGACGAUCAGAUACCGUCGUAGUCUUAACCAUAAACUAUGCCGACUAGGGAUCGGAUGAUGUUAAUUUUUAAUGA
RNAcentral lists this ribosomal RNA (502 nucleotides) under uncultured Glomus. RNAcentral describes it as "SSU rRNA". It matches the Rfam family "Eukaryotic small subunit ribosomal RNA", at positions 569 to 1074 of the family's 1831-position model. Lineage: Eukaryota; Fungi; Glomeromycota; Glomeromycetes; Glomerales; Glomeraceae. The record is from RNAcentral.